UUUCCGAGUGGCUCUCCCUGCGAGCGCGUUCUCGUCGCUUCGCUCCGUUCUCGAAGCUCGCCACCGAAGCUCGAGAGUGCGCCGGAUACGACAAGUGUCGUCUCGUGCGCGACGCGAGAUCCUCGUUUCUCUCGCGGCAGGCGGAAUCGUCGUCGCCGACUUCGGCUCAAUUCCGCGUCGUGAGUUUUUCUCUCUCCCUUUUGUCCGUCGCGUCGCGGGAAAGGCGAAAAAAAAAAGAAAAAAAAAAAAAAGAGAAAACAGAAAGAAAGAAACCCGAAGUUUUUGGUUCCCAAGUUCUUCCAGUUGGAAAGGUCUGUUCGGCGAUUUAUCGGGAAUCAUCGGAUGUUUUGCGUUUUCUGAGGAGAAUGUGCAGAUUUGUCGACGACGAGGGGUGAUCUCGCCAUCGAAGGUGUUCGGCGCGGACGGACACGGGCCGCGUACGUGCGGGUAUUCGAUCGAAACGGCAUCGAGGAGAAGAGGCGUGAAUUUCGGUCGAAUUUCAUCACCGCGAAAUCACGAGGUGCGGGGAAUUGGAUUUUUCUCCCUUUUUUUUUUUUUUUUUUUUUAAGCAGUUUUUUUUCCUUGCGGAGAAUUACGUUUCGCAAGAACUUUAUUCAUCGCUUGCCACAUUUGACCAGUGAAGGCCUGAGUUUUCGAGGUCGAUUGAACACCAUUAAAUGAAUUCGCCUAAUUACCAUGCCACUGAUAAGAUACGUAAUUUCCUGCUUAAAAUCCAUGGUUAUCGUUCAACGCACUCGUUUAAUAUCGCCUCGUGCACGGAUGCAUCGGAACAUUUCGGUCGUGUGCAAAAAAACUUUUCCUCUGUUCUUGAUCACUGAAACCUUUGUCGCGGUCGUGUAACAGUCCUUUAAAUUUUUUUACGCGAUAAAGGCUUAAAAUUUAUCGCGAUAAAGGCUCAAGAAUUACACGUUACGUCAAGGUACGAAAAGUUCGUCGAAUGGAUUAAUUUUGCGCUUAUUUCUAGUAAAUGUAUUCUGCAUCUUAUCACAUUACACGUCCAUUCGUGUUUUUAACUUAACCAGCAAUCAUUUAUAAUUCAGGCUGAUUGUGUUGAUAGUUAUCGUUCCAGUGUUCCGGGUGUUCCAAACUCAAAGUUCGCCAAGUGCAAUAUAUUUCCUAUUUCUAAGUUCUGAGCGUUCGCGAUGCCAUGAGUAUCCAUUUUCACUUACGAUACCGCGCCUGGUCGUAAAAUUGCCAGUGUUAAAUGUCAAGACAGAAAAUACCCUUUCUCGCGUUUGUAAUCGAAUUCACUUAUCGUUACAUAUAUAUAUAUAUGAUUAACUCGUUGAAUCGCAAUUGUUUGAAUCACAGAGGGUCAAUCUUUCAUCUAUCACGUAGGCAAACGAUUUUUCAAAAAAAUCUCGUUCGAACUCUUCAAUUUUUUCCAAUGGCUGACGAACAAGAACAAAAUCGUUCUUCCAAAGAAAAUUCGAUACUUUGCUUUCCACCCUUCCUCCUCUCGUGGUCGAUUUCGUCGAGGUCUGCCAGCAAGUUAAUGGAAACGGGCGGCGAGCACGAUGAUCGAGUUAGGGAAAGUUCGCGACAGUGUGAUCCAGUGUUUUCGUUUAAACAGACACCUGGGGGGGUCUGGGGAGGAUUCCUGGAGAUUGUCCAGGGACGGUUCGGUGAUUGUCGUGGCCGGGCGUCGCGGCGGUUCGCGCCGUGGAAGACAGUUUGACGUUCAUUAACAAAAGCAAGCGGCGUGAUAAAUAGCGCGGCGCGGAAUUGCGAAACUCGCGUGGAAUUUAAUUUCCAGAGCGAGGACGGUGGCGCGCGCGGAGCAACGUUGUUUCCAUCGAGUUGCAGCGCACUGAUUACACAACCGUCCCUUAAGCCUCAUUACCGUCACUGAAAAUUUCCAUAGUGCUCUGGGCAUGAGCGAGCGGGCGAGUGCACGACCGCCGCGUCGUGGAGAGAAGGCGCGUCUCCGGAUCACGAUUCGCCUCGAGUCCCUCGCGAGCUAUGAAUUAGCGUCCCUCGUCGUUCUCUUCCCUCCCGCUCAUCCAGACUAGCGGCUGCUUUUAAGAGAGCGAGAGUGCUUUCUUGACUUACGAUCGCCGUUAGCCCUCUCUCGUUUCCUGUUUCAAUUUCGGCACGCGCCCUCCGUGUUCCUCCUCGCGCUCUCUCUCUCUCUCUCUCUCAUCGCGCCACCCUGCUCCAACGCGCGCCGCUUCGAGAGCCUUUCGUUUUCAUUUCAUUUUCCAGAAGAUUGUUCGCGGCGUGAGCAACGUCGUGGUUAACAAAGGGGAUGUUACGUAGAAAGGUUUUUUUUCUUGCAAGUGUCGAUCUCACGUCGAGAGAAAAAAGGCUGUAGAUUUUUCAACACCAGGUAAUCGACGGUCGUUCGUUCUUUUCUUUUUUUUUUUCUGAAGGUUUCUGGUAGAGCUACGUUCGUAUAGUUAUUUUUUUUUUUUCUGCAAGUACACAGGUACUUUUCUUCGACUGUCGUGAUUCCUUUUCUAAGUGUCAUAUUCGACACUUGUACAAACAUCAUUUUCUGAAAUGAAUAACGAGAUGACUAAACAGAGAAAGACGAGGACAGGAAUUUAGAAUAUCUAUUUAUUACAUUUCCUUGUCUAGAGUUUGUCCUUCCUUUUCUUGAUAUUCAAGUAUAGAUAUUUUCCAAAAAAUAUAAAAGUUCAAACAGUAAAGCGUAAAUGUUGAAAAGAAGGGAACAAGUUGACUGAGUUCACAGCGUUCGUACGUGGAAUCGCGUCGAACGUGCCUCGGGUACGUGGCGCCCUCCACGCAAACCAGAGACGUUGUUCAGUGUUCAUCCUCUCAAGUAUUGCUUUUCCGUCUACAACGAUCUUCUCGGGAGCAUGGCUCUCGGGUUCUUUGGGAUCUCGAAGAACCGGUAUCUACCCACGGACAGUCAUGUCCGUCAUUAGUCCGACUAAUGUAACGCCUCAAAUUCUAUCGGGCCGGGCUGCAUUGCAUCCUCCUACUAGAAAGUCGAUGAAUCGUUAAUAUAGGACGUGGAACACGCCCGAUUCUAGAGAUUCUUCCAUUCUUUUCACCUGGUCUAUUUCUCUCUGUCUCUCUCCGAGUCGAAUAUAGGAUUAUGUCGAAGCGCGAUUUCUUUCGACCGUAAUUAUUCCUCUUUCUCUCUUUUUUCCGUCUCUGUUUUUACGUCCCAGCGUUGACUGUUAGUCGAACUAGGUAUGCUUCGAAUUAAUCGUGGAUAGGGAAGAGUUGACGUGACUCGUUAGUCAGGGAGACUCUCGGGUUUUGUAAUGGAAUGAAGCGAUCAGCAAUGAUAGAAUCGUGAAGAGAGUGGAAACACGGACAAGCAGAGUACAACGAAUCGAUUAUAACCGGCGGCUUGCUUUUUCCCUCGUUAUGGGUGAUUAAACAAUCGUGUGUUUCGUCGCGUCUGUUGGUGUCUGCGGCCGAGUCUCAAGUGGUUCGUUAAUGUUCGAUGGUGUGUCUCUCUGUUUUAUUCCACUGCGUGGCUGCCCGCCACUGCUAAUAACGUGCUUACGCGAGAAGAAAGUCGUCGCGAAAACAAUACUCGUCGUAGAAAAUACCGCGACGAGAAGUCUUCGUAAAAGUAUGUCCGAUGAAAAGUUACAAUAAAUCAAAGAAUCAUUUGCGAAACAUCGAGUGUUAUUUAUUCCGUUAUCGAUUCCGUUGAAAAUUCCUGUCCCUAUUCACGACGUUUCCUAACAACCAACCGUGAUAGUAUGUAUUAUUGUCGUCUCCUUUCAAGUUUCUACUAUCUUUUUCAUCAUCGUAUUCAUGAUUUCAGGGAAGGAAUUUAAUGAUCAGAAAAAUAAAUUGUCAGUGCGAAUUAUAAAAUAACGAGGAGGAUCAGGUUUGGUUUCCCUUCAGAAUUUCUCUUCCCAUUUUCCUCGACAAUCUUUUCCCGGGAAUUACCUUUGGUAGACCAAUAGAAUGCAAUUUCCAUCGUUUCCUUUUCUAUUUUCCGAUCGAUCAAUUAACAUACAAGAGAAUCUAAAGAAAGUUAAAGUAAAAUCAGAGGAUCCUUUCUCUUGAAGUUCCCACUUUUGUCGAUACAUUUUCUUAGAGAACUUUCCUGUCUCUAAGAGAUAGAUCAAUAGAAUUUCUGCUCUCUGAUCUCUAAGAGAUAGAUCAAUAAUAGAAUUUCUGCUCUCCGAUCGAUAUUUAUUAACAUGCCAAAGGACCUAAAGAUCCAGCCAGUUCCGAACGAAAAGUAAGAAAAGAAGAAGAUCCGAGGUUGGAAUUAACCGACUUAACCGCGGUAUUUCUUAAAUCGUCGUCAGAGAAAGAGAGAGAAUCCCGAUCGAGGUCUCGAUAGUUGACCCACCAUCCGCUUAUUACACAUCUUCGCUUCCCGGCUACUUUCUUUCUCCUUGUCCUUCCUUUUUUCACCGUCGCGCACGAUCGAGGAAGAAAGGACUCGAGAGAGAGCCCGAUCAAGGCGAUGAAGAUAUCAAACGGAUGCACGCCGGAUAAAGAGGUGAAGAGGCACUCCGAUCGGACAUCAGUAUAUAUCACUGACGCGAGAUACUUUUGGAAGGAAAUUAGACGACUUUUGACGAUUUAACUGGUCGUUUAAACGUGAUUUCCCCGAUGGUUCGAGUCGGGUCGAAUUUGUUGGAAACUCGCUGAUUCAGCUCGUACCACGCCACGUCAUCCAGAAACGGAUGACGUCUGAUUCUUGGUAAAAGGAAGGGGACGUGUCGUACUAGUGUAAAAUAACAGAGAUUCGGUGAAAAAUUUAAUGUCAGAUGUCUGAAACUAGAGUUGUCAAAAUGUAGCAGUAUCGAUUUUGGGAUUCAAAUAAUUUCUCGCUUGAAAAUAUUUUUGUUUCUUUCAAUUACGUAUGAACAUCUCGACAUCUCUGACCCACAUAUUCUAUUCUCGCUGUAGCAAAUGUAGUCAAAUUCUCGUAAUAAAUUUUAAAUAUGAAA
Molecule: long non-coding RNA, 4919 nt
Organism: Frieseomelitta varia
Lineage: Eukaryota; Metazoa; Arthropoda; Insecta; Hymenoptera; Apidae
Exons: 2
Source: RefSeq, a predicted model, not a curated record